GCCACCGUAGCUCAGCUGGUAGAGCAAUGCUUUCGUAAAGCAUAGGUCGUCGGUUCAAAUCCGACUGGUGGCU
RNAcentral lists this transfer RNA (73 nucleotides) under Planctomyces sp. RNAcentral describes it as "tRNA-Thr". It matches the Rfam family "tRNA". From Rfam's summary of the family: Transfer RNA (tRNA) molecules are approximately 80 nucleotides in length. Their secondary structure includes four short double-helical elements and three loops (D, anti-codon, and T loops). The record is from RNAcentral. RNAcentral also lists the same sequence under 1 other name. Lineage: Bacteria; Pseudomonadati; Planctomycetota; Planctomycetia; Planctomycetales; Planctomycetaceae.